Molecule: ribosomal RNA, 77 nt
Filed under: Clostridium botulinum
Lineage: Bacteria; Bacillati; Bacillota; Clostridia; Eubacteriales; Clostridiaceae
Description: partial 23S ribosomal RNA
Rfam family: Bacterial large subunit ribosomal RNA
Source: RNAcentral
CGUUGAUAGGUCAGAGGUGUAAGUAUGGCAACAUAUUUAGCUGACUGAUACUAAUAGGUCGAGGGCUUGACCAAUAA